RNAcentral lists this long non-coding RNA (329 nucleotides) under Triticum aestivum (bread wheat). Its description in RNAcentral is "long non-coding RNA (TAES_LNC013409)". The record is from RNAcentral. Lineage: Eukaryota; Viridiplantae; Streptophyta; Magnoliopsida; Poales; Poaceae.
UCCGAAAUUGCUCGUACAACAUUCAUCGGUUGAUGGCCAACACAUCACCUAAUCAUGUACAACUUCCGUAACAGGACUUGUUCAUCUCAACUAGAAACCGGUGUCCAAUCCUCUGAAAUGGCAGGGUUACAACCAGCAUCUCGCAAGGAUGCAAAUAUACCAUAAAAAGGAUUAGACCUCCGUACAACAACAAUACUAGGCAUAAUACCUGAUCAUUCAAGCAAGCCACACAACUUGCCUUCGUCAAGAUUAGCUGCACACUAAAAUCACUCAAACUUCGCACACAUUCUCAUAUUUACAGAACUUAUUGUCCAAUCCUCCCUCUAACC